Molecule: transfer RNA, 77 nt
Filed under: Desulfosporosinus sp. OT
Lineage: Bacteria; Bacillati; Bacillota; Clostridia; Eubacteriales; Desulfitobacteriaceae
Also listed under: 1 other name
Description: tRNA-Pro
Rfam family: tRNA
About the family: Transfer RNA (tRNA) molecules are approximately 80 nucleotides in length. Their secondary structure includes four short double-helical elements and three loops (D, anti-codon, and T loops).
Source: RNAcentral
CGGGGCGUGGCGCAGUUUGGUAGCGCGCUUGGUUCGGGACCAAGAGGCCGUGGGUUCGAAUCCCGUCGCCCCGACCA